UUCCUGGUUCGCCGAGCUGUUUCUGUUUU
This 29-nucleotide non-coding RNA is filed under the name Mus musculus (house mouse). Lineage: Eukaryota; Metazoa; Chordata; Mammalia; Rodentia; Muridae. The record is from RNAcentral.